UACGGAGGGUGCAAGCGUUAUCCGGAUUUACUGGGUUUAAAGGGUGUGUAGGCGGGCCAUUAAGUCAGGGGUGAAAAUCCCGGAGCUCAACUCCGGAACUGCCUUUGAUACUAUUGGUCUUGAAUGUUGUUGAGGUGGGCGGAACGGGUCAUGUAGCGGUGAAAUGCAUAGAUAUGACCCGGAACACCGAUUGCGAAGGCAGCCCGCUAAGCAACUAUUGACGCUGAGGCACGAAAGCGUGGGGAUCAAACAGG
Molecule: ribosomal RNA, 254 nt
Filed under: uncultured bacterium
Lineage: Bacteria
Description: partial 16S ribosomal RNA
Rfam family: Bacterial small subunit ribosomal RNA
Source: RNAcentral